RNAcentral lists this ribosomal RNA (465 nucleotides) under uncultured bacterium. RNAcentral's name for it is "partial 16S ribosomal RNA". It matches the Rfam family "Bacterial small subunit ribosomal RNA", at positions 28 to 507 of the family's 1533-position model. The record is from RNAcentral.
GACGAACGCUGGCGGCGUGCUUAACACAUGCAAGUCGAACGGUAAGGCCCUUUCGGGGGUACACGAGUGGCGAACGGGCGAGUAACACGCGAGUAACCUGCCCACAACUUUGGUAGAACUCUAUGAAACUGGCUCGAAUACUUGACAUGUGCUCCUUCUGCAUGGAGGGGGGUGGAAAGCUCCGGGGGGCGGGGGUGGACUGGCGGCCUAUUAGCUUGUUGGUGGGGUAGGGGGCUACCCAGGCGGCGGCGGGUAGCCGGCCUGGGAGGGUGACCGGCCAACUUGGGGCUUAGGUGCGGGCCAGGCUCCUACGGGGGGCCAGCGUGGGGAAUAUUGCCCCAUGGGGGCGAGCCUGGUGCAGGAACCGCGGGGGCGGGAUGACGGCCUUCGGGUUGUAAAACGGUUUCAGCAGGGACGGAGCUUUUUGUGACGGUACCUGCAGAAGAAGCACCGGCUAACUACGUG